AUGAAUUUCAUAUAAAUUAUUUAGACUCAAAACAUGGUGGCUUUAGGUGCAUCGGCUAAGAAAUGCAAAGUGAUCAUCCAACCAGACCCAACCUGACUUGGUCGUUUUUUGGAAAGUUUUUAAAUCGAACCGACCUGGUUCGAUAGUUGAAACCUACCUAACCCAAUCCGCACAGGUCAGGUCGGGUCAUUUCCUUAAAAAUUGUUUUUCCACUUAUUUCAAUACUAAAAUUUUAAGACUUCCAAAUCAAUCCUUAAUUUCUUAAAAAAAAAAUCUGAAAAAAAAAAUGAAAAACGAAAAAAGCUUAAUUAAUUGGGUCAGCAGCAGCAAGUGAAAGGGAGAGAAAACUAUGUACUACUUCAUUCAAACUCUGAUUGUCUUUAUCUAAUUUGUUGUAUUCUUCGACAUCUUCCAUGUAGAAUCUCUCCAUACUUGGAGUUUCUUUUAGCCAAUUUUGAGUACAUAUAAAAACUUCCACAAUCCUCGCGGUUAAAGAACUAUGGAAGGGAUCAAGAAUUCUUUCUCCGGUACUAAAAGCAUUUUUUGAAGUUAUGGUAGACACUUUGGACGAAGUGCCAUAAUUAUUUAUUCUUUCUCCAGUACUAAAAAAACUCCCACAUUUGUUCCUCAUCUUCGUGCAGCAAGGUUUGCAUGCCUAUUCUUGCACUGGAUUAAAAUCAAGAAAUAUGAAUUAAAAUCAAAACAAACUUGACAAAGAAGCACAGUCAGCCAUCAACUAUACCAUGAUGACGAUUCAUCAUUACAGACUAGCGGAGUUUAUCAAAAACCAGAUGCGAAUAUAGGCUAUCAUCGAGGCCUCCAUAUGGAAACUGUCUGGUACAUUAUCUGCAGCUGAUUCCUGUUUGGUUGAUCUCUCUCCAUCUUCUUUUCUUUUCUGAAGUUCGUCAUGUACUAACAACACUAACUAAAACUUCCAAGAGAGGACAAGAAUCAUGUCUUCAUUCGUUUCCCAAAGAAUGAUUUGCUUUUGAUUUGUGUCCAAAGAAAGCCUGCUGAUACAACUGAAAGUAAAUUGCUGAGAAGAAUCUGAAUGUUCUAUCUCAAUGUGCUUAAUCAAGCCAAUGGGUGAGCCAAAAUAAUCGCACCACAAGAUGAGGACACGAACAAGGCACAUAAUUCAUGUGUCUCAUGCUCAAGUUUCUUAUCAUAAAGUACUGUCUCUAGGCACCCGAAGAAUUCAUUUCUACAUGAGAUUUUGACGCUACCUUUAGUUACUCGGUUCCCCAAGCGUUCAGUGCGUAUGUCCAGAUUGUCAUUUCUUUUGUUCUGGUCUUCACUGAACUUACCCAAUGUGGAAAGACCAAUUCACAUUUGUUCCUCAUCCUCGUGCAACAAGAUGUGCACGUCUUGCACAAGAUUAAAAUCAAGAAAAAUGGAAAAAAUAAAAACAAUUUUCUUAUGUCGUUGUGAAAGGUAUUGUAUAUAGUUUGCUUCAUUGUCGAAAGAAUAUUUUUAUUCAUUGCGGACACAUUUGGCUUACCG
This 1503-nucleotide long non-coding RNA is filed under the name Olea europaea subsp. europaea. Lineage: Eukaryota; Viridiplantae; Streptophyta; Magnoliopsida; Lamiales; Oleaceae. The record is from RNAcentral.